GACGAACGCUGGCGGCGUGCUUAACACAUGCAAGUCGAACGGAAAGGCCCUGCUUUUGUGGGGUGCUCGAGUGGCGAACGGGUGAGUAACACGUGAGUAACCUGCCCUUGACUUUGGGAUAACUUCAGGAAACUGGGGCUAAUACCGGAUAGGAGCUCCUGCUGCAUGGUGGGGGUUGGAAAGUUUCUGCGGUUGGGGAUGGACUCGCGGCUGAUCAGCUUGUUGGUGGGGUAGUGGCUUACCAAGGCUUUGACGGGUAGCCGGCCUGAGAGGGUGACCGGCCACCUUGGGACUGAGAUACGGCCCAGACUCCUACGGGAGGCAGCAGUGGGGAAUAUUGCACAAUGGGCGGAAGCCUGUUGCAGCAACGCCGCGUGCGGGAUGACGGCCUUCGGGUUGUAAACCGCUUUCGCCUGUGACGAAGCGUGAGUGACGGUAAUGGGUAAAGAAGCACCGGCUAACUACGUG
This 468-nucleotide ribosomal RNA is filed under the name uncultured bacterium. RNAcentral's name for it is "partial 16S ribosomal RNA". It matches the Rfam family "Bacterial small subunit ribosomal RNA", at positions 28 to 507 of the family's 1533-position model. The record is from RNAcentral.